RNAcentral lists this ribosomal RNA (543 nucleotides) under uncultured bacterium. RNAcentral's name for it is "bacterial SSU rRNA". It matches the Rfam family "Bacterial small subunit ribosomal RNA", at positions 355 to 896 of the family's 1533-position model. The record is from RNAcentral.
UGAGGAAUAUUGCACAAUGGGCGCAAGCCUGAUGCAGCGACGCCGCGUGGGGGAUGACGGCCUUCGGGUUGUAAACCUCUUUCACCAUCGACGAAGGUCCGGGUUUUCUCGGAUUGACGGUAGGUGGAGAAGAAGCACCGGCCAACUACGUGCCAGCAGCCGCGGUAAUACGUAGGGUGCGAGCGUUGUCCGGAAUUACUGGGCGUAAAGAGCUCGUAGGUGGUUUGUCGCGUUGUUCGUGAAAUCUCACGGCUUAACUGUGAGCGUGCGGGCGAUACGGGCAGACUAGAGUACUGCAGGGGAGACUGGAAUUCCUGGUGUAGCGGUGGAAUGCGCAGAUAUCAGGAGGAACACCGGUGGCGAAGGCGGGUCUCUGGGCAGUAACUGACGCUGAGGAGCGAAAGCGUGGGGAGCGAACAGGAUUAGAUACCCUGGUAGUCCACGCCGUAAACGGUGGGUACUAGGUGUGGGUUUCCUUCCUUGGGAUCCGUGCCGUAGCUAACGCAUUAAGUACCCCGCCUGGGGAGUACGGCCGCAAGGCUA